Long non-coding RNA from Danaus plexippus (monarch butterfly), 423 nucleotides. RefSeq lists it as uncharacterized. The transcript is spliced from 3 exons. Lineage: Eukaryota; Metazoa; Arthropoda; Insecta; Lepidoptera; Nymphalidae. The record is from RefSeq and is a predicted model, not a curated record.
UAUUUCAGUACAAAGUAAAUAGAUAUCCAGUUGUAUCUUACUGCAUUAUAAAUGUUAUCUGAUGUACAAGCGAUAAAUUUAUCUCGAACGCCUUGCAAAAGCCGCCCACUUGCACAACAGUAACUUGAUCAGCUUCUAAUGUGGCGAAAACUGUACAUAGCAUUCAAGCAUUAAGCCUGCAUACGGUCACAAAAAGACACCUUGGCACCAGAGCAGUUCCAUCACCUUGAGACAACACAGCGAUCGGAGACCGAAACUCAUUCACCAAUGUUAAUUAAUUAUAAGGUAUCAUAAACGUUAAUCACUCAAAUCUGUUCAUUCUGUGUAAUUAUUAUAACUAAGCCAUACUAGAUAUGGCGACUUCAUUGUAAAACAACGAAAUAUAAAGCAAUAAAUUUAAAUAAAAUCAAUUGAAAGUAUGAA